UGAGCCCGGGACUUCUGGGCUGUAGUGUGCUAUGCCAAUCAGGUGUCUGCACUAAGUUCAGCAUCAAUAUGGUGACCUCCCGGGAGCGGGGAACCACCAGGUUGCCUAAGGAGGGGUGAACCGACCCAGGUCGGAAACCGAGCAGGUCAAAACUCCUGUGCUGAUCAGUAGUGGGAUCGUGCCUUUGAAUAGCUACUGCACUCCAGCCUGGGCAACAU
This 218-nucleotide small RNA is filed under the name Callithrix jacchus (white-tufted-ear marmoset). Its description in RNAcentral is "Metazoan signal recognition particle RNA (ENSCJAG00000068012.2)". It matches the Rfam family "Metazoan signal recognition particle RNA", at positions 63 to 281 of the family's 299-position model. Rfam says of the family: The signal recognition particle (SRP) is a universally conserved ribonucleoprotein. It is involved in the co-translational targeting of proteins to membranes. The eukaryotic SRP consists of a 300-nucleotide 7S RNA and six proteins: SRPs 72, 68, 54, 19, 14, and 9. Lineage: Eukaryota; Metazoa; Chordata; Mammalia; Primates; Cebidae. The record is from Rfam by way of RNAcentral.